Schistocerca piceifrons (Central American locust) is the source of this 336-nucleotide long non-coding RNA. RefSeq lists it as uncharacterized. The transcript is spliced from 2 exons. The record is from RefSeq and is a predicted model, not a curated record. Lineage: Eukaryota; Metazoa; Arthropoda; Insecta; Orthoptera; Acrididae.
AACGCAGACCAGCGGAAUCAUUCCGCCGUGAGCUAUAUCUGCAAUAGCAUUGAAGCACUGUCCCUCGUCGACGUAAUUCAAGAAAAAAUAAAGGAAACUACAUUCCUGUUCAGCCUACCUUAAUUAGCAGAAGGAAAAAAGAGAUUGGCGGGCUGCAGAAGUAAUCCUGGAGGAAGACAAAGAACAACAUUCAUUGUUCUGCAGAUCCAAACAAGAAGGAGAACAAUGAGGGAUGUGGAACGAGCCGUGAUGUACGUUAACUUGGGACAAAUAUAUCAUUGAAAAUUUCUGUGUACUCUAUUCAGCAAUAAACUAUCACAAUACUGCUUAAUGUCA